UGGGGAAUCUUGGACAAUGGGGGCAACCCUGAUCCAGCCAUGCCGCGUGGGUGAAGAAGGCCUUAGGGUUGUAAAGCCCUUUCAGUCGUGACGAUGAUGACGGUAGCGACAGAAGAAGCCCCGGCUAACUCCGUGCCAGCAGCCGCGGUAAUACGGAGGGGGCAAGCGUUGUUCGGAUUUACUGGGCGUAAAGGGCGCGUAGGCGGAUUGUUAAGUCAGGGGUGAAAUCCCGAGGCUCAACCUCGGAACUGCCUCUGAUACUGGCAAUCUCGAGUCCGGAAGAGGUUGGUGGAAUUCCGAGUGUAGAGGUGAAACUCGUAGAUAUUCGGAGGAACACCAGAGGCGAAGGCGGCCAACUGGUCCGAGACUGACGCUGAGGCGCGAAAGCGUGGGGAGCAAACAGGAUUAGAUACCCGCGUAGUCC
This 424-nucleotide ribosomal RNA is filed under the name uncultured prokaryote. RNAcentral's name for it is "bacterial SSU rRNA". It matches the Rfam family "Bacterial small subunit ribosomal RNA", at positions 355 to 796 of the family's 1533-position model. The record is from RNAcentral.